RNAcentral lists this ribosomal RNA (425 nucleotides) under uncultured bacterium. RNAcentral describes it as "partial 16S ribosomal RNA". It matches the Rfam family "Bacterial small subunit ribosomal RNA", at positions 354 to 796 of the family's 1533-position model. The record is from RNAcentral.
GUGGGGAAUCUUGCGCAAUGGGCGAAAGCCUGACGCAGCCAUGCCGCGUGAAUGAUGAAGGUCUUAGGAUUGUAAAAUUCUUUCACCGGGGACGAUAAUGACGGUACCCGGAGAAGAAGCUCCGGCUAACUUCGUGCCAGCAGCCGCGGUAAUACGAAGGGGGCUAGCGUUGCUCGGAAUUACUGGGCGUAAAGGGCGCGUAGGCGGACAGCUUAGUCAGAGGUGAAAGCCCAGGGCUCAACCUUGGAAUUGCCUUUGAUACUGGCUGUCUUGAGUUUGGGAGAGGUGAGUGGAACUCCGAGUGUAGUGGUGAAAUUCGUAGAUAUUCGGAAGAACACCAGUGGCGAAGGCGACUCACUGGCCCAAUACUGACGCUGAGGCGCGAAAGCGUGGGGAGCAAACAGGAUUAGAAACCCGGGUAGUCC